AACCGCCGUAUACGGAACCGUACGUACGGUGGUGUGAGAGGACGGCGGAUGCAAAUCCGCCUCCUAC
RNAcentral lists this unclassified non-coding RNA (67 nucleotides) under Pseudomonas sp. NFACC16-2. Lineage: Bacteria; Pseudomonadati; Pseudomonadota; Gammaproteobacteria; Pseudomonadales; Pseudomonadaceae. The record is from RNAcentral.